This 279-nucleotide ribosomal RNA is filed under the name uncultured bacterium. Its description in RNAcentral is "partial 16S ribosomal RNA". It matches the Rfam family "Bacterial small subunit ribosomal RNA", at positions 506 to 784 of the family's 1533-position model. The record is from RNAcentral.
UGCCAGCCGCCGCGGUAAUACGGAAGGUACAAGCGUUAAUCGGAAUUACUGGGCGUAAAGCGCGCGUAGGUGGUUUAUUAAGUUGGAUGUGAGAUCCCCGGGCUCAACCUGGGAACUGCAUCCAAAACUGAUUCACUAGAGUACGAUAGAGGGAGGUAGAAUUCACAGUGUAGCGGUGGAAUGCGUAGAUAUUGUGAAGAAUACCAAUGGCGAAAGCGCUCUACUGGACCAUUACUGACACUCAGAGGCGAAAGCUAGGGUAGCAAAAGGGAUUAGAUA